UGUGGGUGUGAUUAGAGACUGGAAGUGUAUAUCCAGAAAAAAAGGUUUCUUUGGAACGUGUGUAUCCUUAAAGGUUUUAAAGGAAAUCAAAGAAACAUCAAGAUCCAAGCAAGAAGGAGAUAAUAGGUGUUGAAGGGAUACAAGGGCCUUCACCAGUGUUUGAUGGGAAGCUCUUUGAUGACUGACGUGUCAAGAUGCAAGGAAUUUUUGGCCAGGAUGUUUCAAAAGUAAUAGAAGAUGGGUUGGCGGUCUUUCUGAUGGUGAGCAACGGCGCUGGCGGCGACCGGUUUCGGUGGAGGCGGCGGUGGAGAGGAUGUGAGGUGGAGAGGCGAUAAUAGUUCUCUCUCGUGCCUGAAGAGGAACAUGAAAAGAAGCCCAGACGACAAGGGUGGGAGGCUUUCGCCUCGCCCAGCGAUGGAUGCUUGAAGAUGCUAGUGACUUGGAGGUUGGUGGCCAUGGAUGUUGGCUUGCGAACUAGGGUUUAUGACAGGCGCAUUGUUAUCUUUUGAUUCUGUAGUUUGAUUUGCAGAUCUGGAAUUAGGUUUUUGGUAGUGUUCAGGGUUUCCCUGCAGGUGCAUCCAUGGAUGCCUUAAGAUGGUGGUGACAAGGUAAUGCGACAUCAUUCAUGGUGGCAUAGGGUUU
Molecule: long non-coding RNA, 642 nt
Filed under: Vigna radiata
Lineage: Eukaryota; Viridiplantae; Streptophyta; Magnoliopsida; Fabales; Fabaceae
Description: long non-coding RNA (VRAD_LNC001194)
Source: RNAcentral